ACCCCACUGAAAAAGGUCUGGUUACUCCCCCGUCGGACAGAACGGGCAGAUGCCCAGGCAGCCUUGCCACCCCCACCCCACUGAAAAAGGUCUGGUUACUCCCCCGUCGGACAGAACGGGCAGGUGCCCAGGCAGCCUUUCCACCCCCACCCCACUGUAAAAGGUCUGGUUAUGCCCCCGUCAG
Brienomyrus brachyistius is the source of this 184-nucleotide long non-coding RNA. RefSeq lists it as uncharacterized. The transcript is spliced from 3 exons. NCBI's taxonomy places the organism in Eukaryota, Metazoa, Chordata, Actinopteri, Osteoglossiformes, Mormyridae. The record is from RefSeq and is a predicted model, not a curated record.